GACGAACGCUGGCGGCGUGCUUAACACAUGCCAGUCGAACGGAAAGGCCCUGCUUUUGUGGGGUGCUCGAGUGGCGAACGGGUGAGUAACACGUGAGUAACCUGCCCUUGACUUUGGGAUAACUUCAGGAAACUGGGGCUAAUACCGGAUAGGAGCUCCUGCUGCAUGGUGGGGGUUGGAAAGUUUCGGCGGUUGGGGAUGGACUCGCGGCUUAUCAGCUUGUUGGUGGGGCAGUGGCUUACCAAGGCUUUGACGGGUAGCCGGCCUGAGAGGGUGACCGGCCACAUUGGGACUGAGAUACGGCCCAGACUCCUACGGGAGGCAGCAGUGGGGAAUAUUGCACAAUGGGCGGAAGCCUGAUGCAGCAACGCCGCGUGCGGGAUGACGGCCCUCGGGUUGUAAACCGCUUUCGCCUGUGACGAAGCGUGAGUGACGGUAAUGGGUAAAGAAGCACCGGCUAACUACGUG
Molecule: ribosomal RNA, 468 nt
Filed under: uncultured bacterium
Lineage: Bacteria
Description: partial 16S ribosomal RNA
Rfam family: Bacterial small subunit ribosomal RNA
Source: RNAcentral